RNAcentral lists this ribosomal RNA (465 nucleotides) under uncultured bacterium. RNAcentral's name for it is "partial 16S ribosomal RNA". It matches the Rfam family "Bacterial small subunit ribosomal RNA", at positions 28 to 507 of the family's 1533-position model. The record is from RNAcentral.
GACGAACGCUGGCGGCGUGCUUAACACAUGCAAGUCGAACGGAAAGGCCCUGCUUGCAGGGUACUCGAGUGUCGAACGGGCGAGUAACACGUGGGUGAUCUGCCCUGCACUUCGGGAUAAGCCUGGGCAACUGGGUCUAAUACCGGAUAGGAGCCAUUUUUAGUGUGAUGGUUGGAAAGUUUUUUCGGUGUAGGAUGAGCUCGCGGCCUAUCAGCUUGUUGGUGGGGUAAUGGCCUACCAAGGCGGCGACGGGUAGCCGGCCUGAGAGGGUGGACGGCAACAUUGGGACUGAGAUACGGCCCAGACUCCGACGGGAGGCAGCAGGGGGGAAUAUGGCACAAUGGGCGCAAGCCGGAUGCAGCGACGCCGCGUGGGGGAUGACGGCCUUCGGGUUGUAAACUCCUUUCGCGAGGGACGAAGCUUUUUGUGACGGUAACCAGAUAAGAAGCAACGGCUAACUACGUG